Molecule: ribosomal RNA, 497 nt
Filed under: uncultured bacterium
Lineage: Bacteria
Description: partial 16S ribosomal RNA
Rfam family: Bacterial small subunit ribosomal RNA
Source: RNAcentral
GAUGAACGCUGGCGGCGUGCCUAAUACAUGCAAGUCGAGCGAGCAGACGAGGAGCUUGCUCCUCUGACGUUAGCGGCGGACGGGUGAGUAACACGUGGAUAACCUACCUAUAAGACUGGGAUAACUUCGGGAAGCCGGAGCUAAUACCGGAUAAUAUAUUGAACCGCAUGGUUCAAUAGUGAAAGACGGUUUUGCUGUCACUUAUAGAUGGAUCCGCGCCGCAUUAGCUAGUUGGUAAGGUAACGGCUUACCAAGGCAACGAUGCGUAGCCGACCUGAGAGGGUGAUCGGCCACACUGGAACUGAGACACGGUCCAGACUCCUACGGGAGGCAGCAGUAGGGAAUCUUCCGCAAUGGGCGAAAGCCUGACGGAGCAACGCCGCGUGAGUGAUGAAGGUCUUCGGAUCGUAAAACUCUGUUAUUAGGGAAGAACAAAUGUGUAAGUAACUAUGCACGUCUUGACGGUACCUAAUCAGAAAGCCACGGCUAACUACGUG